UAAUACUACGCCGGAUGAACGGAAAUCAUUGAUGUUGAUUAAUAUGUGAUGAAUAUUUCUAGUAUUAA
Molecule: transfer RNA, 68 nt
Filed under: Neptuneopsis gilchristi
Lineage: Eukaryota; Metazoa; Mollusca; Gastropoda; Neogastropoda; Volutidae
Description: tRNA-Ile
Source: RNAcentral